GACGGAACUCCCAGGCCAGAGCCCGCAGCAAGGAUGACUUCUCUUGCUUUGGUUAAUAUCCUGUGAAAUGACUAAAUGCAAAUGGACCGACGGAGCGCUAGGUCCUGGGCUGACGGGCCACCCUAAUUCGGCUCCCUUCCUGCAGGGUCUGAGCUAUGACCGUUUUUCUGACGCUCUCCUGGAUGUCCUCAUGCGCAUCUCUCAUCAGUGACGAAAACUGGCCGCAUCGAAAUAACACCCGCUUUCCACCUCGCUGCUCCAUUUGCCGUGUUUACCUACGUGGCUGCUGGGGGCCCCUACCCUGGCCGGAUGCCCCGCCAGCUUCCAGCCCUUGCCCUCCAUUCUCUCUGGACUCCGGUGCCUCUCGACGUCCGAAUGAUCGAUUGCCAACCCUGUGCUUUCUUCCUAGGGAACAUCCGUAUCCUAUCUCGACACUGUUUGUCUCUCUCCGUCUCCACCACCGUCACCUCUGGAUCCAGCCUGGUGCCACCAUGCAGACGAAACUUCCGUCACACCUGUCUCCAGCCAAAGGCAUAAAUAAUCCGCCACGGGGAGGCUGGAAACUAUUUGAGAGCCAACAGCGUGAGGGGCUCCAUUGGGAGAAUCGUGUCUGUGCCCCAGAUUUCUAGCUCUCUGCUCAGCUCCCACCUGGGGUCUGCCUGAGUGACGUGCCCUCGCCUUGUCCCGAGAACCCUGGUCGAAGAAGCGUCUCUGUCUGCUCUGGCACUCACU
RNAcentral lists this long non-coding RNA (732 nucleotides) under Felis catus (domestic cat). Its description in RNAcentral is "lncRNA (ENSFCAG00000051674.1)". The record is from RNAcentral. Lineage: Eukaryota; Metazoa; Chordata; Mammalia; Carnivora; Felidae.